UUCUAAAUAUUUAAAUACUUUGGCAUCAGAGAUAUGUUUCAAAAAAUCCUUUUGAUGGAGUCAAACUCUCCAAGCUUCUGUUUCUUUGACCCAGGUUCUUCAGAGUCUUAUGGCCUGAGUCCUCUCCUAGGAACAAGGAAGGCCUGGGCUGGCAGGUGUCUGGCCAACUCUCGGCUGCACCCAAAGCAGCGGCAGCGCCCUUACUUGUCCUAACACUGGACUUCCACUGGGGAAAGAGCUUUAAUUACCUCUGAAAUCUCAGGUCUAAAGAUCAGUAACUCAUACAAUCUGUUUUCUUAAAUGUGAGCGCUGGGCUGCAGUUCUGUGUGGUAAGG
Molecule: long non-coding RNA, 335 nt
Filed under: Bos taurus (domestic cattle)
Lineage: Eukaryota; Metazoa; Chordata; Mammalia; Artiodactyla; Bovidae
Description: long non-coding RNA NONBTAT025702
Source: RNAcentral